RNAcentral lists this ribosomal RNA (444 nucleotides) under uncultured bacterium. RNAcentral describes it as "partial 16S ribosomal RNA". It matches the Rfam family "Bacterial small subunit ribosomal RNA", at positions 354 to 795 of the family's 1533-position model. The record is from RNAcentral.
GUAAGGAAUAUUGGACAAUGGACGCAAGUCUGAUCCAGCCAUGCCGCGUGAAGGAUUAAGGUCCUCUGGAUUGUAAACUUCUUUUAUAAGGGACGAAAAAAGGCUUUUCUAAGUCGUCUGACGGUACCUUAUGAAUAAGCACCGGCUAACUCCGUGCCAGCAGCCGCGGUAAUACGGAGGGUGCAAGCGUUAUCCGGAUUCACUGGGUUUAACGGGUGCGUAGGCGGGCAGGUAAGUCAUUGGUGAAAUCCUAGAGCUGAACGCUAGAACUGCCAUUGAUACUAUCUGUCUUGAAUAUUGUGGAGGUAAGCGGAAUAUGUCAUGUAGCGGUGAAAUGCGUAGAUAUGACAUAGAACACCUAUUGCGAAGGCAGCUUACUACGCAUAUAUUGACGCUGAGGCACGAAAGCGUGGGGAUCAAACAGGAUUAGAUACCCUUGUAGUC